ACACACAUGUGUGUGUUCCUGGUCGAUCAAAACACAGAGCCAAGAUGGAGCUCCUCUCAAACCCUAAACUCACAAAAAUUCAUCAAAAUCAAAGAGGAAUCGAGCUAAAAAUCGGUGCUUUAACUAAUUUCGUGAUCACCCAAGUUGGGAGAUCACAAGGCAAAUCGGGUGAAGUGUUAAGUGGUCAAGUUGGAACGGACGCGCGUUUGAAGGAUAAGCUAUAAGGUGGACACUAUAAACUUUUGGAUGAAAAUCAAGCAUCGUUGAAGAACCGAACACACACCUAAUCGAAGCUUCUGCGUCUAUGUUUGUUUAUUUUGAUGUUAUGACUUACGUAAACACUUAAAAGUAUAUUUUGGAUGUUUUAAAACUUAGGUGAUCAUCGUUAUUGUUGAUGUUUUUGUAAACUGGCAUUUUUAUAUAAAAAUGCAAACAUUAUAUGAUGAAGUAAAUUAUAAAUUUA
This is a long non-coding RNA of Helianthus annuus (common sunflower), 463 nucleotides long. RefSeq lists it as uncharacterized. The record is from RefSeq and is a predicted model, not a curated record. The transcript is spliced from 3 exons. NCBI's taxonomy places the organism in Eukaryota, Viridiplantae, Streptophyta, Magnoliopsida, Asterales, Asteraceae.